GGUUAAGCGACUAAGCGUACACGGUGGAUGCCCUGGCAGUCAGAGGCGAUGAAGGGCGUGCUAAUCUGCGAUAAGCGCCGGUAAGGUGAUAUGAACCGUUAUAACCGGCGAUACCCGAAUGGGGAAACCCAGUGUGACUCGUCACACUAUCAUUAACUGAAUCCAUAGGUUAAUGAGGCGAACCGGGGGAACUGAAACAUCUAAGUACCCCGAGGAAAAGAAAUCAACCGAGAUUCCCCCAGUAGCGGCGAGCGAACGGGGAGGAGCCCAGAGCCUGAAUCAGCAUGUGUGUUAGUGGAAGCGUCUGGAAAGGCGCGCGAUACAGGGUGACAGCCCCGUACACAAAAGCGCAUGUGCUGUGAGCUCGAUGAGUAGGGCGGGACACGUGGUAUCCUGUCUGAAUAUGGGGGGACCAUCCUCCAAGGCUAAAUACUCCUGACUGACCGAUAGUGAACCAGUACCGUGAGGGAAAGGCGAAAAGAACCCCGGCGAGGGGAGUGAAAAAG
This 506-nucleotide ribosomal RNA is filed under the name Salmonella enterica subsp. enterica serovar Enteritidis str. CVM_81-2490. Its description in RNAcentral is "bacterial LSU rRNA". It matches the Rfam family "Bacterial large subunit ribosomal RNA", at positions 1 to 546 of the family's 2925-position model. The record is from RNAcentral. Lineage: Bacteria; Pseudomonadati; Pseudomonadota; Gammaproteobacteria; Enterobacterales; Enterobacteriaceae.